Molecule: long non-coding RNA, 1061 nt
Organism: Arachis duranensis
Lineage: Eukaryota; Viridiplantae; Streptophyta; Magnoliopsida; Fabales; Fabaceae
Exons: 3
Source: RefSeq, a predicted model, not a curated record
CCUAACCUUCCACCGCCACACUCCCUUUCCCCAAUACCCAGCAAUACCCAACAUAGCUUCAAAAGAAAAACCAAAAGAAAGAAAAAGAAAAGGGAAAUGGAAUUAGGAGAAAAGAGAGAAGAGAGUUGCGAUGUAAAUGAAGAAGACAAGGGGAAGAGGGGGCUGACCACACCACCAGCGCAGGAGAGAACCGAGGGGAGAGAGAGAGUGAUGCGUCUGAGAAAGAGAGAGAGAGAACCGAAGGGAGCUGCUGCGCCGUCGCGAGGGAGUCGCCGUAAGCUUUGCGUCGAACUCCUCACGAACCGUCGUUGUCCGUGGAGCCGCUAGGAGCUGUCGGUCGCCGUCACCGAUUGAUGGAAGAAGAGGACGCACAAGAGGAGCCGCUGCUGCUGGGUUACCAUUCUUCCACCGUUGCCGUCGGGAACCGGGUUCAAAGAGGUAGAACCGCGACAAGAAAGGAGGGUAGGAGCUAUCGCGGUGGUCGCCGUCACUGUCACAGCUUCUUCCGCCGCCACUGGCUUGCCAUUUCUGCUCGGCUGUGCCCUUAUUCGCUGUUCUGAUUGUCAAAAAGAAAUGUUGUCGAAGCUAUAGCUUCUCCGUUUUCCAUUCUCUUGUUUCUUUUCCGAGGGUGCUUAGAAUACAAAUUAUGAUGUAGCUGUGGCAGAAUAAGGUGAAAAGAUGCGGGUUUGAUUCUUUGAGGAAUCAAAUAAAGAACUACUAUGAAGAGUUAUAAUGCGUUUUGGUUUAUAUGAUGUUGUAUUAAUUAGAUUAUUUUUCUUCUCUCGUCUUUGUUAUUACAAUUCUGUAAGAGGGAUAGGAGUUUUGUGUUUUAUAUGUAUAUUAUUUUAUAAGCUAUUAGUUAAAGAAAUAUUGUAUAUGAAUCUAUGUGUUUGUUUUUUUAGAUAAAUUAUUUAUUUCCGGUUUUUAAAGAAAUCAGCGAUACGGUGUCGAGUUACAGGCUCCUAUUUUAAUAUUUAGUAUAUAAAGUAGUCGUAAUACUUCUUGUUAUCAUAGUGGCGCAGCCGGAAGCGUGAUAUUCUGGUAGUGAGGGUGUUACAAAA